UGGUUCUGGCAUCGAUGAAGAACGCAGCGAAAUGCGAUAAGUAAUGUGAAUUGCAGAAUUCAGUGAAUCAUCGAAUCUUUGAACGCACAUUGCGCCCUCUGGUAUUCCGGGGGGCAUGCCUGUUCGAGCGUCAUUACAACCCUCAAGCACAGCUUGGUAUUGGGCUCUCCGCCGCUCCGGCGGGCCUCAAAAUCAGUGGCGAUGCCGUCUGGCUUCAAGCGUAGUAGAUUUCUCGCUAUGGAGAUCCGGCGGCCACCUGCCAGCAACCCCCAGUUUUUUUCAAAGGUUGACCUCGGAUCAGGUAGGGAUACCCGCUGA
RNAcentral lists this unclassified non-coding RNA (318 nucleotides) under uncultured fungus. RNAcentral's name for it is "partial contains 5.8S ribosomal RNA and internal transcribed spacer 2". The stretch from base 1 to 133 matches the Rfam family "5.8S ribosomal RNA", at positions 22 to 154 of the family's 154-position model. The record is from RNAcentral. Lineage: Eukaryota; Fungi.